RNAcentral lists this ribosomal RNA (192 nucleotides) under uncultured bacterium. RNAcentral describes it as "partial 16S ribosomal RNA". It matches the Rfam family "Bacterial small subunit ribosomal RNA", at positions 340 to 524 of the family's 1533-position model. The record is from RNAcentral.
UACGGGAGGCAGCAGUGGGGAAUAUUGCACAAUGGGCGCAAGCCUGAUGCAGCCAUGCCGCGUGUAUGAAGAAGGCCUUCGGGUUGUAAAGUACUUUCAGCGGGGAGGAAGGCGACGCGGUUAAUAACCGCGUCGAUUGACGUUACCCGCAGAAGAAGCACCGGCUAACUCCGUGCCAGCAGCCGCGGUAAU